This 465-nucleotide ribosomal RNA is filed under the name uncultured bacterium. RNAcentral describes it as "partial 16S ribosomal RNA". It matches the Rfam family "Bacterial small subunit ribosomal RNA", at positions 338 to 795 of the family's 1533-position model. The record is from RNAcentral.
CCUACGGGAGGCAGCAGUAGGGAAUCUUCCACAAUGGGCGAAAGCCUGAUGGAGCAACGCCGCGUGGGUGAAGAAGGUCUUCUGAUCGUAAAACCCUGUUGUUAGAGAAGAAAGUUCGUGAGAGUAACUGUUCACGUUUCGACGGUAUCUAACCAGACAGCCACGGCUAACUACGUGCCAGCAGCCGCGGUAAUACGUAGGUGGCAAGCGUUAUCCGGAUUUAUUGGGCGUAAAGGGAACGCAGGCGGUCUUUUAAGUCUGAUGUGAAAGCCUUCGGCUUAACCGGAGUAGUGCAUUGGAAACUGGGAGACUUGAGUGCAGAAGAGGAGAGUGGAACUCCAGGUGUAGCGGUGAAAUGCGUAGAUAUAUGGAAGAACACCAGUGGCGAAAGCGGCUCUCUGGGCUGUAACUGACGCUGAGGUUCGAAAGCGUGGGUAGCAAACAGGAUUAGAUACCCGAGUAGUC